Molecule: ribosomal RNA, 254 nt
Filed under: uncultured bacterium
Lineage: Bacteria
Description: partial 16S ribosomal RNA
Rfam family: Bacterial small subunit ribosomal RNA
Source: RNAcentral
GACGUAGGGCGCGAGCGUUGUCCGGAUUUACUGGGCGUAAAGGGCGCGUAGGCGGCCACCGCAAGUCGACUGUGAAAUCUCCGGGCUUAACCCGGAAAGGUCAGCCGAUACUGCGGGGCUAGAGUGCAGAAGGGGCAACUGGAAUUCUCGGUGUAGCGGUGAAAUGCGUAGAUAUCGAGAGGAACACCUGCGGCGAAGGCGGGUUGCUGGGCUGACACUGACGCUGAGGCGCGAAAGCUAGGGGAGCGAACGGG